GACAGAAGAGAGACUAUGUGAGCUUGAUGACAGAAAAACAUAAAUGAUUCAUGUAGAACGGGACAGAGAACUAAGAUUUUUUUUUAAAAAAAGUGAAGAAACCUACAGGAACUAUCAGACUCCAUUAGAAAAGCCAACAUAAGAAUAAUGGGUAUUCCAGGAGGAGCAGAGUAUAUUUAAGGAAAUAAUAGCUAAGAACUUCCCAAACCUAGAGAAGGUUCUGGAUACGCAAGUCCACAAAGCUAACAGGAUACCUUAUCAUCUCAAUGCAAAAAAAGUUUCUCCAAAAGACAUGUUAAAAAUGUCAAAAGUCGGGCUUCCUUGGUGGCGCAGUGGUUGAGAGUCCGCCUGCCGAUGCAGGGCACACGGGUUCGUGCCCCGGUCCGGGAAGAUCCCACAUGCCGCGGAGCGGCUAGGCCCGUGAGCCGUGGCCACUGAGCCUGCGCAUCCAGAGCCUGUGCUCCUCAACGGGAGAGGCCACAACAGUGAGAGGCCCGCGUGCGGCAAUAAAUAAAUAAAUAAAUAAAAUAAAAUAAAAUAAAA
This is a long non-coding RNA of Orcinus orca (killer whale), 543 nucleotides long. RefSeq lists it as uncharacterized. The record is from RefSeq and is a predicted model, not a curated record. Lineage: Eukaryota; Metazoa; Chordata; Mammalia; Artiodactyla; Delphinidae. The transcript has 3 exons.